Molecule: ribosomal RNA, 127 nt
Filed under: Felis catus (domestic cat)
Lineage: Eukaryota; Metazoa; Chordata; Mammalia; Carnivora; Felidae
Source: RNAcentral
GUCUACGGCCAUACCACCCUGAACGUGCCUGAUAUCGUCUGAUCUCGGAAGCUAAGCAGGGUUGGGCCUGGUUAGUACUUGGAUAGGAGAAUUUUACUUUUCCUAAGGUCCUCGGUAAAUGGGGAGA